UGAACUUAAAGGAGUCUCAUUAUGAUCAUUUACAAGCAUAACAGGACCCCUUUAAACUAGUAGUUCACCCCAAAAAUGAUUUAGUCAUCAUUUAGUCAUGUUAUUCCAAACUGGUAGGACUUUCUUUUUUCUGAGGAACACAAAAGAAGGUAUUUUAAGGAAUGUCUCUGUCCAUAUAGGUCAAUGAUGUGAUGCUUAAAUUUUCUGUCCGACUGCAUUUUUUUUUUUUUUUUUUUUCAGUUAAAAUGUGGUUUAAAUGCAUAAAAAGAUACCAUAUAUAUGUAAUACCUCUCCCAUGCAUGUACUCACUUUAACUUCUCAAAAAACAUUAGUUAUUUGUAAUUUUCUGUUAUUUAAAGUAUCAAAAUAUCAUGUGGUGCGACUGUCCGGCCAUAACUUCUGUUUUGGAAAUGUCUUUGAAAUUACUCUAAAUUUAUUCAAAUUCAUUUUCUGCACUAUUUGGCAUGAUUUAUAACAUGUUUUGUAAUCCUGUACAAAAUUGCAAAGCCUUUGUAUUUGUAUUUCCAUCAUAAUAUACAAACAAACUUUAUCCGAUGAUGUCUGUUAUAUGAAAUCAUGUGGUGCGACCAUCAAAAAACUACCAUUUUGGGACUUUCACGUUGAAAUCCAUUCAAAGACAGGGCGUUGCAUCAUGUACCAAUUUGUGAAGGACCCAUGGAAGCAGCGAGCAGAUGCCACUGCAAAGUAAAACCGCUGACCAUAGGCAGCGUGUUAAUUCUGACCCUGCAGCAAGAAUGCAAAAAGUUACACCUUGCUAGAAGAAGAGUGAAAUAUUACUGCAAUUUAAAAUAUCUGUUUUCUAUGUGAAUAUAUAGUAAAAUGAAAUUUAUUCCUGUGAUCAAAGCUGAGUUUUCAGCAUCAUUACUCCAGUCUUCAGGGUCACAUGAUCCUUCAGAAAUCAUUCUAAUAUGAUGAUAUGCUGCUCAAGAAACAUUUAUGAUUAUUAUCAGUGUUCAUAUUUUUGUGGAAAUUGUGAUAUUUUAUUUGUCAGGAUUCUUUGAUUAAUAGAAAGUUCAAAAGAACAGCAUUUAUUUGAAAUAGAAUCUUUUGUAAAAUUAUAAAUGUUUUUACUGUCACUUUUGAUCAAUUUAGGCCUAAUGUGUCCUUGAUGAAUUAAAGUAUUAAUUGAUUUUUUCUAACUCAACUUAAAUAAAAUGGUGCACGUAUGUUUGCAAUGUGAUUUUUUUUUUUAAUAUAAAAAAAAUGUUUAUAAAAUUUUUGUUUAUGAAAAUUCUGUGAAAUUUUAAUAAAAUCUGGUUUAAAUCUA
Molecule: long non-coding RNA, 1288 nt
Organism: Ctenopharyngodon idella (grass carp)
Lineage: Eukaryota; Metazoa; Chordata; Actinopteri; Cypriniformes; Xenocyprididae
Exons: 2
Source: RefSeq, a predicted model, not a curated record